GUCUCUUUCUGCUUCAAGCCUCCCUAACGAAAAGAAGAGGAGCGGACACACAACUCCGGUUCAACCUGCAAUAGGAGCUCUACCUUACCAGGGUUCCGCAACAAUGGAUACCUGCACAGAAAGCAGGUCGUUGCUAACAGUGAGGCUGAAAAGCUGAACCAUGAAGACCUCUCAUCCAGGUUUUGGAUAACGCUGGAAAACAGAAACGUGAUGAUGACUAAAUCACUGCAGGUGACCAUCACUGCUGACCCUGAGUGACUCCCUGAGGAUGUCUCUCUUCAAGGAAUAAAUCUGCCCGUGAGAUUUAAUCGGAUGUCCUUGAGAUAUGUGGGUUCUCGCGUCCUGAUCCCUAAAGGUCUGGUGCGUUGAGAGCAGCACGAAGAUGGGUGACUGAGGACUCUGAGAUGCAGCCCGUUUGCCUCCCUGGAUGGUUUCUCUCCUGUGUGCAUUCUCAUGUAUUACUCAAAUGAGUAAUGUUAUUGCAAAUCUGCAAGUUUUGCAAUAACCUUAAAAAAAUAAAUAAUAAAAAAACCUAAUUCAGAA
Molecule: long non-coding RNA, 543 nt
Organism: Eleginops maclovinus (Patagonian blennie)
Lineage: Eukaryota; Metazoa; Chordata; Actinopteri; Perciformes; Eleginopidae
Exons: 7
Source: RefSeq, a predicted model, not a curated record